This 276-nucleotide long non-coding RNA is filed under the name Phoenix dactylifera (date palm). RNAcentral describes it as "long non-coding RNA (PDAC_LNC014356)". Lineage: Eukaryota; Viridiplantae; Streptophyta; Magnoliopsida; Arecales; Arecaceae. The record is from RNAcentral.
UGAAUAAUUAUGCAUUGCAGACUGUCAUAUAAGGUUAAACCCAUUUAAAAGUGAUCUGCUAAGGUAUGGGCUAUUUAGGCUUUAAUGUAUCUGAUAGGGUGUGGGCCUUUAAUGUGUAGAGACUUAAGGGUUAUUCUUAUUUUCUAUGAUAGGCUGAAAUAGGAAUACCAAAAGAUAAUCAUAGGAAUACCAAAGGUUAUCUUAAGGGUGGUUAUGGUCCCUGGAUCACACGUAUGUAUGAUUCUAUUCUGACAUCCCAUCAUCAGAUAGAGAACA